Molecule: long non-coding RNA, 3853 nt
Organism: Pseudopipra pipra
Lineage: Eukaryota; Metazoa; Chordata; Aves; Passeriformes; Pipridae
Exons: 3
Source: RefSeq, a predicted model, not a curated record
UGUAAUUCAAGAAAUCUUCUUCUACAUCUAGUCCAGAUAACAUUAAUUCUGAUUCUUCCUUAAUUUACACUAAGUUAAAGAAAAGAUGGCUUUGAAUUGAUAAAGAUGAUUUGUUCCUACUCUGCUGCACUUUAGUAAUCUCAACUAUAUUUCAACCUGCCAUGAUGGUACUGAAUAUAAGGCAUAUUUAGCACUAUGUGAACCUGAGUUAUCUUCUUGGAAUAUACUUUAUUAAAGAGACGAGUAUUUUUACUGAUAUCUUUCUUUUUAGCAGGCUGAACUCUCUGGUCUCAGUCACAAAAGAAUGUAAUAUUAAAGAUUUUAAUAAGGAUGAGAUAAUAUGACAUUGAGAUGUCCCUCAUUUAUUUGAUUUUGGUUUAGAUUAUUAACCCUGGUUCUGUUUCAAGGAAUGAUUAUAAAAUUAAAACAAAAGCCCACAAACUCUAUCCUUCAGAUUUAUUUCUCAGAUAUAUUAGUUUCUUCUUAUGGUUUCCAUUCCUGGUGUUUAAAUCUUAAAACCAUUGCACAUGAAUGCUGCCAUAAAACCUACAAAAUGUCCAGACAGGUGAGCAAAGCAAAUUGUAUUCAGGUUUUACAAGAACCUGUACCAGGGAUAAAAUCAGACAGAAGUUGUUUAUCUCAUAGGGAAAACAAAGGAGAAAAAGAGGAGAAGUUUCCAAGGUAUUGCAGAAGUUUAUGCCUCCAUUAAGACCAGCCAUCUCACCACUCACUGUGUUACAUUCGGGGAGCUUGAAGCAGCCUCCCCGCGGUUUCAUUUGUUCGCAAAACAUGCUAAUGACAGUUUCAUGAUUAGAGCUAGCGAAUAUGAAACGUGUGGAAUGAGAUUGGGAGUAGACUCGAGAGAGCAACUAAAUCUGCGGUGCGUAACCUUGCAUAGUCACAGCUCUCUCCUCCCCCUGUCAGUGUCUGCUGUCCUAUUAUUUUUUCACAGGGAGGAGGGAAAAGCAUCCUCGGGUCGCACCUGGGCUGCGGUUUUACCCGCUGGCGGCUGGACUGUCCCGCGGCGGGGGCGGGCGCCGAGCCCCCGCCGAGCCCGGGCGUCCGCGCUCUCCAAAACAGAGCCCCGGGCUCCCUCUGUAGUUCAAGCAGGGAAUUCUAUAUACCUCCAGGAGCUGGUUCGUCCUGAAAAAAACCCAAGAGGGCGAGUCGUUUAGCCAAGUUCUUCUUUUCAUUCUUCAUCUCUUUGGUGUGAGGAAAUGUCUACUUCCAAUUUAAGUGUCCAUUCAGCUGCAGAUCAACUGAGCAUGAAGGACAGCAAAAGAGGAGACAGUGAAUUAAAUGACAGUCAUUCUGUUAUCAGUGGAGAAAGGCUAAAGAAGCCACCUUCAGAGAUGAUGGAAAAUCAGGUUGGAAAGUAUAAAAUUUAACAUCUCAGUUUUGGAGUGCAAGACAUAAAUGGAGGCAAUGAACUGAAACAAACCUUAUAAUUCUCCUUUACAAAGGCCCUGGAUGAGGAAAGGCAGGAAUAGAUUGAAAAGUAGAGAUGUCUGACCCCCUAGUCAUCAUCGUCCCUGACUCACCAGUAAAACAUCUCAGUGAUGUUACACAGACAUGAGGUAAUCACAGGGUGGCAUGAUAAACACCUUCGAACCCCAAAGUUACUGGCUUCUGAGUGCUUCUUUUUUGGGUGCUCAGUUUGGCACACCUCAGAGAGGCUUGAGAGUGAGCAAGUGCUGAGCAUUGCUUCAUAAGGCUUCUUGAAGCUGAGUAGCAGAAUACUCCUAAGGUGUUUGGUCCAUGUCUGUCCAUGUGUGUUGCGAAGUGCAUGUCAUAUGUAUGGGCACUAUUUGCCUAAAAUGAAAGAAAAAUUGUCUGGAGAGUUUGUUAAAGUAAGGUAGAGAGCAGGUCUUUAUUAAGGCCUUAAGGUGCAUAAAAUACAUUCAACACACACAUGCAGAAUAACUGUUACAAUUUUAUAAUACUGGCUAGUUAUCCUAUCUAACCAUUACAUCCUGGCCCAAAAACUGUACAUCCCCCCACCCGCCCUCAGGCCCUCCCCUAGGCACGCCUCCCCAAGUUGGAUUGGUGGUCCCAAGAAAACAAUAGUUGGUCCCUCCUUCAUCUUCAUCAUCCCUCUCUGUCCUGCUUGGCCCUCUUUCAAGGAUCCUGGGUGUUCUCUAAUAGUUUAGUCUAAAGUUUGAUAAGGGGUGAUCAAAAUCUAGAAUGGUGAUAAAAGAUUGUGGCCUUAGAUACUUCCUAGAGUUAAUUUUAGGUGGUGGCGUGGGCCCGGGCCGGCCCUGGGCGUGUGUGCGGCGGCCCGGCCCUGGGCGCUGGGGCCUGGCCCUGGGCGCGGAAAGGAGCGAGAGAAUGGGAGCUUCACCUGUGCGGACAGUGCCAUCGUGGGAGAUGAGAGGGGAGCCCUGGAACACACAGAAGAGAAGGACAACUCUAAACCCGGGCAGAUGGAGCUCGUUCAGCCCUGUAAGGCCAUCCAUCUAAGAGAAGGUCACUCUAAACAAACCCACGUCCUGAGGACCUUGCUGCCACCAUCCAAGCUCGCUCGGCCCCGGCAGAUGAACCUCAGGAUUAAAGGGUGGGCUCAGUUCAGCGCACACUGUGUCUCACCUAAAAAAUCCAUUGCGCAGGCUCGAAAGCCUUACCCGCAUUUGCAAAGCCCUGUAUCACCAGCGCGCUUGUAACAAACAUGGGCAGAGACCUUUCCCAAAUCUUCAUUCGUGAAGACUGGCCAUGACUGACUGACUGACUGAUAAAUAAAUGAAUGAGAUAUAUGAACAAUUGAACUGCUGAGUGUUGAAGCACAUGUAUUUCAUAGGUAUAUGCUUAUUACAGCUCACUUCAUGCAGGUGCUUCUAGGAUCCUAGCAUAAUACCUGGUGACCUAGCAUAAUUUUAGGAUAUCUUAUUGCCUGGAAAAUUAGCCCAAAGAAAUGUAGAUAUACUUAUUUGUAACUAUAAUAAAUAGAUUUUGAUAGAGUAAAAACACCUAAGAUUUUCCUAUUGUGUGAUGUUGCUGUCCCAAGCAUAAGGUUGCUACAUUCAGCCAUUGCUGAUAUAUGAGAAUAUAUUGUUUAUGAUUUAGUAAAACAUAUUAGAUGAUUGAAUUCUAGAAAAAUACCUCAUAUUAAUUUAAAGGACUUCAAAAUAUUGCUUCCUUUCCAGAUACUGUAUCCUCUGCAAAGGAAAACACAUACAAGUACGCAAAGAGCUGUAACAGUUCUUAUGCCUUACAGCUGAACACAAGGAAAACACUUUCUCUACAUUAUGAAAUUGAUCAUACAAUCACAUAUUCUACAAUACCAAUUUAUUAGCCCAUACCUCCAGUUUGGAAAGUCUCAUUUUCAUUCCCAGCAGCCAAAGCAGAAAGAAUGUAAUUAUCAAGCAAAUAUUCCUAAACCCCAAAGACUGCAGAGUAUAUUUAAAAGAUUUCUAAAUGACAGGUAGACCAGCUCAGUUACUGUCCCGUCAAGACAGCAGAGAGGAUUAAAUCACCCUUCACAGAACACUUUACCCCUAAGUGCCUCUGAUAUAGGAAUAUCAUUCUGAAAGAGCAAUGGAAAGAUAUCACAAAGUAUCGUAAAAUUGUACUGGGUACUUUUGUCUGUGUUUAUGAGAAAGUGUUGCCAACUGAGUUGUGUAAAUAAAAUUCCAGCAAGAUAAAAUGUUACUUUAAAUUAUGGCAAAAUCAAUCAGUGUCUAGACAAAUCGUCUUUUUAAAAUCAUCUUCUGUAUUUUAUCAAUGAACCUGAAAACCAUGUGAAAGUAUGCAAUUACUGCUGCUAGGAAUUAGAAAGUAAAUUAAACCAAGCCAUGACUUCAUUCUGAAAUUAUUAUGUAAGUAAAUAAAAAGAUCUAAGUGUACAUCUACAGUCAAA